This 23-nucleotide non-coding RNA is filed under the name Rattus norvegicus (Norway rat). Lineage: Eukaryota; Metazoa; Chordata; Mammalia; Rodentia; Muridae. The record is from RNAcentral.
UUGAUGCCUUCGUCCUUUGGGAG